AAGAGACAGCAGCCGCCGCGGGAAUACGGAGGGUGCAAGCGUUAUCCGGAUUUAUUGGGUUUAAAGGGUCCGUAGGCGGAUCUGUAAGUCAGUGGUGAAAUCUCACAGCUUAACUGUGAAACUGCCAUUGAUACUGCAGGUCUUGAGUAAAUUUGAAGUGGCUGGAAUAAGUAGUGUAGCGGUGAAAUGCAUAGAUAUUACUUAGAACACCAAUUGCGAAGGCAGGUCACUAAGAUUUAACUGACGCUGAUGGACGAAAGCGUGGGGAGCGAACAGGAUUAGAUACCCGAGUAGUCCCUGUCUCUUAUAC
Molecule: ribosomal RNA, 310 nt
Filed under: uncultured bacterium
Lineage: Bacteria
Description: partial 16S ribosomal RNA
Rfam family: Bacterial small subunit ribosomal RNA
Source: RNAcentral